GCGUCUUUAGCUCAGCUGGAUAGAGCAACGCCCUUCUAAGGCGUGGGCCAGGAGUUCGAAUCUCUUAAGACGCACCAUAUCGGGGUGUGGCGCAGAUGGGAGCGCGCGUGGUUUGGGACCAUGAGGUCGCAGGUUCAAUCCCUGUCACCCCGA
This 153-nucleotide transfer RNA is filed under the name Clostridium chauvoei JF4335. Its description in RNAcentral is "tRNA-Pro". The stretch from base 1 to 74 matches the Rfam family "tRNA". Lineage: Bacteria; Bacillati; Bacillota; Clostridia; Eubacteriales; Clostridiaceae. The record is from RNAcentral.